Molecule: long non-coding RNA, 5520 nt
Filed under: Homo sapiens (human)
Lineage: Eukaryota; Metazoa; Chordata; Mammalia; Primates; Hominidae
Description: non-protein coding lnc-RPL34-2:1
Source: RNAcentral
UAAAUUAAUAUACAGGUUAAUGCAAUUUCUAUUAAAAUCCCAGCAAGAUGUUUUGUAAGUAUAAACAAAAUUAUUCUAAAAUGUAUACGAUAAGGCAAAGGAAACAGAAGAACUAAAACAAUUUUGAAGAAGAAUAUGAGAGGACUCAGUCCAACCUCUUUCAAGACAUUGUAUAGCUACGAUAAGUGGAACUGGUGUAGAGAUAAUCACAUAGAUAAAUAUAACAGAACAGAAAAUCCAGAGAUAGUGCAUAUCAAAUUGAUUUUUGACAAAGGUGCAAAAGCAAUUCAAUGGAGGAACGGUAAUCUUUUCAACAAAUGAAGCUGGGGCAAUUGGACAUUCAUAGGCAAAGAAUAAAAAAGCCUCAGCCUGUCUCACACCUUAGACAAAAAUUAAUAACUCAAAUGGAUCACAAUAGGAGAAAAUCUUUAGGAUCUAGCUUCAGGCAGAGUUCUUAAACUUGACACUGAAAGCAUGACACAGAAAAUGAAAAAUUGAUAAAUUGGACUUCAUUAAAAUUCAAAACUUUGUGCAGCCAUAAAAAAUAAUGAGAUCAUGUCCUUUGCAGGGACAUAGAAGAAGCUGGAAGCCAUCAUCCUCAGCAAACUAACACGGGAACAAAAAGCCAGACACUGCAUGUUCUCACUCAUAAGUGGGAGUUGAACAAUGAGAACACAUGGACACAGGGAGGGGGAUAUCACACACCAGGGCCUGCGGGGGGGUAGGGGGGUAAGGGGAGGGAGAGCAUUAGGACAAAUACCCAAUGCAUGCGGGGCUUAAAACCUAGAUGACGAGUUGAUAGGUGCAGCAAACCACCACGGCACAUGUGUACUUAUGUAACAAAACUGCACUUUCUGUACAUGUAUCCCGGAACUUAAAGUUAAAAAAAAAAAAUUCAAAAUUUUGCUCUGCAAAAAAAUUCUGUUAAGAGAGUGAAAAGACAAACUAGAGACUGGGAGAAAAUAUUUGCAAACUAGAAAACCAACAAAAGAUUACUAUCUAAAACAUAAAAUGAACUCUCAAAUCCAAUAAAAAAAUAGUCAAAAGGCAUGAGGAGAUAUUUCACUGAGGAGGAUAUAAAUAGAUUUUUAUGAUAAAUAAGCACAUAAAAAGAUGUUCAACAUCAUAUGCCAUUAGGAAAAUGCAAAUUAUGACCACAAUGAGAUUUCACUACAUACCUAUUAGAAUGUAGAAAAUAAAAAAUAGUGACAACACGAAAUGCCAAAGAGGAUGUGGAGUAAUUGGAUCACUCACACUGCUGGUGAGAAUGAAAAUAGUGCAGCCACUCUGAAAAAUGGUCUAGUAGUUUCCUAAAAACCUAAACAUGCAAUUACCAUAUGACCCAGCAAUUGUACUUCUGGGCAUUUAUCCCAGAGAAAUGAAAAUGUGUUCACCUAAAAACCUUUUUGAAUGUGUAUAGCAGCUUUGUUUGUAAAACCCCCAAACUGUAAGUUACUCAGAUGUCCUUCAACAGGUAAAUGGUUUAACAAAUUGUGGUACAUGCAUACCAUGGAACGCCACUUAGGAAUAAAAAGGAGCAAACUACUAACAGAUACAACCAGCUGUAAAAAUCUCCAGGGAACUAUGCUGAAUAAAAACAGCCAACGGCGGCCGGGCGCAGUGGCUGACGUCUGUAAUCCCAGCACUUUGGGAGGCCGAGGUGGGCGGAUCACGAGGUCAGGAGAUCGAGACCGUCCUGGCUAACACGGUGAAACCCCGUCUCUACUAAAAAUACAAAAAAUUAGCCGGGCGUGGUGGCGGGCGCCUGUAGUCCCAGCUACUCGGGAGGCUGAGGCAGGAGAAUGGCGUGAACCCGGGAGGCGGAGCUUGCAGUGAGCCGAGAUCCCCGCCACUGCACUCCAGCCUGGGUGACAGGAGGAGACUCCGUCUCAAAACAACAACAAUAAAAAGCAAAAACAAACAAACAAAACAAACAAACAGAACAGCCAACGCCAAAAUGUUACAUAUUGUACGGUUCUACACAGACGACAUGCUUGAAAUGAUGAAAUUAUAUAAACGGAGAACACAGUGGUUGCUAGGGGUUAAUGAGAGGGUGGUUGUGGAAGAGAAGUAGAUGUAUCUAUAAAAAGGGGCACAUGAUGGAUCCUUGUGCAUGUGAAAAUAUUCUGCCUCUUAUCUGUAUUAAUGUCAAUAUCCUGGCUAUGAUAUUAUACUGUAGUUUGGCAAUACGUUACCAUUGGGGGAAACUGGGUAAAAGGUACACAGGAUCUCUCUGUAUUAUUUUGUACAAUUGCACAUGAAUCUACAAACACCUCAAAGUUUAGUUUAAAAAAAACGUAAAUAUCAUAUAUGCAUGCAAUGUAAGCAGCAAAAAUUCUGCAGGGCCACAUAGCCAGCUUCAACACAGAUUACCUCUGCAGAGGUAGACAAGUAGCUCUGAAGAUUAGGUGGGGUUGAUGAGAGGAUUCUUUCUUUUCAUUUUAUUCCCUUACGAAUCUUGUCUAAAUAAAUUUCUUAACAUGAGUAUGUAUUACUAUUAUAAUAAAAAGGAAACAAGUUAAUAGGAUUUAAACAUAAACCAUAUUAAUUUCUCAUUAUUUAAACAGGAUCUUUUCUGCAAUUUCCCGUGUACAAAAAAGUUUCUUGGCAAAACAGCCCUAGUAUUUAGUAAAUAUAUUAAGUCUUUUACAGGAGGAAAAUCCUUAACUUAGUCUUUCUAAGGAGAAACUCACUCCAAAACCUUUAGCUCACAGGAUCUACCCAUUAUAAAAUACACUUUUAUUCUACAAAGUGCUUCUCAGAUAUUUCAACCAAUCUCUGACACAAAGUACCAAAGGUGAUUUAAUAUAUGUCAGGGUCCCUUCUCUUGUUCACUAAUGGGAGGGGAGGGUAUAAUAUACACACCAAGAUUCCCACACUCUUCAGCGGCAAAGAACAGGUGCCCAGCUGUCCCUGCAAAAACCCUGGCCAUUAAGAACACCCCAGUUAAGGAACAGCAAAGGAAGCUGGUGCUAUCAUCCUGGUCCCAGGUAACCAAGAGACUGACUGUUCUUCUCAUAAGAAACAUUGUACCUGCUCCUGCCCUAUGCGAGGCCAAGCCCUGUUGGGUAUAGGUGAUGUGGCCAAAUGCAUACAACUUCAUUUAUCAAGGGAAGCUGCAUCAUAUUCUGUCUUUACACAUUAGAUCACUAAGUACAACUUUCUGUCAUGAUUCUCCAUUCAAGUCACAGCUUUGGGACAAAAUGUGAGGGCAGAAUUUGAUUCAUUGUUCAUGUUCACAGCAAUAGGUUUGGAGUUUCCACAUCUUCUGAAUAUUUGUAGGAAAGCUCAAGUACAAAUAUUGUUGGGAUGCUCAAGAAAACAUCUUUAAGUGAACAGAAACAGACUGUCUCCUAUUGAAAUUCCUUAAAGCCACAAGUAUUUUAUUUUAAUAUGCUUCUUCCCCACAGAUUUGGAAUUUGGUAGCUGAAUACCCAAGUGUAGGCAAUGACUAAAAAGCUGACCCUGGAAAACUUGGGCAUCAUUAAAUGAUUAAAUCAAGAAUAUUCUCUGAUUGCUUUAUUCCAACUAAUCUCAAAUAGUCAAAGUUACCAGUUACUGAGUAUCAACUCUGUCCUGGCACUUUACUAGUUCCUAAUUUCCCGAACCAUGUAAGGCAAGUGUCAUGGGAGGUCUAAAGAGGAAGAAACGGUGACUCAGAAAAUUGAAAUAACUUGUCCAAGAUUAUGCAAAGGGUAAGGCAAAGUCAGGUUUGAGCUCAGGUCAGCUGAUGCCAGAGCCCACCUUCCUCAUGUUCUCUGAUGCCACCCCUCUUACCAACAUAGUAAGCUUUAAGAGAUUUGUGAUGAUGUCAAUGAUAUAAUAUGUCACCUAGAUCCUUCACUCUUUCCUCAGCUAGGAAUGUAACCAACCCAAAAAUUUCCUGAAAGUGGAAAACCCUGACUCCUACACCAGGUCCUUCCUGAUACCUCUGUGCAAUAUACCUUCUUCAAUUUGAAUACUCUGUUACUCAUGCUUUACAAUUUAGCAAACCCUCUCGUACACACAGUGGGAGCAGCAGCAUAGUACCUGGGUAAUGUCAGUGCCAAACGGCACUGAGUGUGUUAUAUAAACAAAUGAUGGCUCUAGCAGUGCUUUCUGUUUAGGGGUUCUGCCAGGUGUCAGGGAAACAACAGUGAGUGGAACUGGGCCCCCAUCCUUGGGGGUGCACAAUCCAGGGGCAGGGAACAGACAUAUAAACAAAUAAUUAGAUCAAUGUGAUAACAAUUACAAGAGAAGUAUAUUCAAAGUGGAAUGGAAGAAGAGUUGGAAGAAGCCCCAGGGUGGUGGAGGUGGUAAUUGGUAGGGCAGAGAAAGAGUGUUCCUAAUUAGCUAGGCAUGGUGGGGUGAGCCUGUGGUCCCAGCUACUCAGGAGGCUGAGGUGGGAAGAUCACUUGAGCCUGGGAAGUCAAGACUGAAGUGAGCCAUGACUGCACCACUUCACUCCAGCUUGGGUGACAGAGCAAGACCCCAUGUGAAAAAAAAAAGUGUUCCUAUCAGAGGAAACAGCCUGAGCAAAAGCAUGAUGUCCUGGAAGAGCAUAGUAGGUUCUCUUAUAAGUGGGAGUAGUCACAGUGAGGUUUGCUUUUACUCAGCAACAAAUUCAUUUCAAAAAUAUCAUGUAGAAUUCUACCAGUCUACAUGUACAGGUCAGGGCACUUUUCAGCUGCUACAGAAGGAAGUAAUCUCAUUUUGCCAGCCCAUGGCUUUUUCUCCUUUCUUCAUACCCUUCUUGCUAAAAUAUCUUCAGGACUAAAGCUCAAUUGAAUGACAGCCCCUCUGGCACUCAGCAGCCUCUCCUGGAGAGGUCUCUAAAGGCUGCAAGGGCAGGCAGUAUGAUAGGGUAGAAAUAGAGCAGAGAGUAUGGCCAAGCUAUGGGCUAACAAGAUGAAUUUGGGUAGACAGCCAGGUCCAUCACUUAUUAGCUGUGUGAUUUUGGGCAAAUUUCUUUACCUGUCUAGCCUCCUUUUGUGUGGAUAUCAUAUUUUUACCACUGACUAAGUGCUAAGCACUGUGCUAGAGUUUAUUAUGCAUUAUCUCACUUAAUCCUUAAAUAAGUCUAUACGUUACUGGCAAUGGAACAAAAUACAGACCCCAGAAAUAAGUCCACUUAUUUUCAGCCAAAUGAUGUUCUUUUUGGGGUAAGGAAUGAGGCCUAAGUCCAGGUUGGAACAGAGAAAAACUGGCAGGUUGCCUGCCUACAUCAUCACCACCGAUCAGAUCCAGGAUGAGCACAGGUGAUACAAACUUAUUGUGCCUGGUCAUCAGGCUGCAGAGCUCAGAUGUGUGUUCUGGGCUGUCUGGGCUAUUGUCCUGGAAAUACUCCACAGCCUUCUGAAUCUAGAUUGCCUGACCUAAAUUAGAGAGUGAGCUCCCAUAAGUCUUCUGUAAGUUUAAGAGACAGAAGAUUUGGUGACACUAGGAUGUAUAGUAAAAAAAGUUGGUGCCUCCUCAAGUUCUGCUAAAACAGUGGUUUGCAGCCUUGGCUGCAUAUUGGAAUCACCUGGGAAAUUUUUUAAA